Molecule: unclassified non-coding RNA, 722 nt
Filed under: uncultured Thelephoraceae
Lineage: Eukaryota; Fungi; Basidiomycota; Agaricomycetes; Thelephorales; Thelephoraceae
Description: sequence contains ITS1, 5.8S rRNA gene, ITS2
Rfam family: 5.8S ribosomal RNA (bases 213-367)
Source: RNAcentral
GGAAGGAUCAUUACUGAACUGUCGACACGAGUUGUUGCUGGCCCUCAAAAGGGGCACGUGCACGCUCUGUUUACACAUCCACUCACACCUGUGCACCCUCUGUAGUUCUAUGGCAUGGAGGGCUUUGCUCCCCUGCCGUGGUCCUGCGUCUUUACACACACGCCGUAAUAAAGUCUCAUGGAAUGUAUGUCGCGUUUAACGCAAUACAAUACAACUUUCAGCAACGGAUCUCUUGGCUCUCGCAUCGAUGAAGAACGCAGCGAAAUGCGAUAAGUAAUGUGAAUUGCAGAAUUCAGUGAAUCAUCGAAUCUUUGAACGCACCUUGCGCCCUUUGGCUAUUCUGAAGGGCAUGCCUGUUUGAGUAUCAUGAACACCUCAACUCUCGUGGUCCGCCGCGAUGAGCUUGGACUUUGGGGGUCUUGCCGGCCUAGUGUCGGCUCCUCUCAAAUGGAUCAGCCUGCCAGUGUUUGGUGGCAUCACGGGUGUGAUAACUAUCUACGCUUGUGGUUUUCCACCACGUAACCUUCAGCGAUGGAGGUUCGCUGGGGCUCACAGAUGUCUCUCCUCGGCGAGGACGGCUUUUGAACGUUUGAUCUCAAAUCAGGUAGGACUACCCGCUGAACUUAAGCAUAUCAAUAAGCGGAGGAAAAGAAACUAACAAGGAUUCCCCUAGUAACUGCGAGUGAAGCGGGAAGAGCUCAAAUUUAAAAUCUGGCGUGCCU